GGCACUGUAGCUCAGUGGGUAGGGUGCUGGUCACAUACACUGAGGUUGGCAGGUUUGAAUCCUGCCUGGGCCA
This 73-nucleotide transfer RNA is filed under the name Otolemur garnettii (small-eared galago). It matches the Rfam family "tRNA". From Rfam's summary of the family: Transfer RNA (tRNA) molecules are approximately 80 nucleotides in length. Their secondary structure includes four short double-helical elements and three loops (D, anti-codon, and T loops). Further hydrogen bonds mediate the characteristic L-shaped molecular structure. tRNAs have two regions of fundamental functional importance: the anti-codon, which is responsible for specific mRNA codon recognition, and the 3' end, to which the tRNAs corresponding amino acid is attached (by aminoacyl-tRNA synthetases). tRNAs cope with the degeneracy of the genetic code in two manners: having more than one tRNA (with a specific anti-codon) for a particular amino acid; and 'wobble' base-pairing, i.e. permitting non-standard base-pairing at the 3rd anti-codon position. The record is from Rfam by way of RNAcentral. Lineage: Eukaryota; Metazoa; Chordata; Mammalia; Primates; Galagidae.